UCAAGAGUUCGAAAACACUUUCAUCUCUAACCUCUCUGUUUUCUCUAUUUCUCGUUGUCUUACGGAGUUUAUUCAAACAUGGCCCAAGUUAGCACCGUGAAGGCCACUAUGAUCCUCUUUGCUAUUGUGAUGUUUGCUGCAGCUGCUACAGUCUCGGCACAAGAAGUUUCUCCGACUCCAUCGCCGGAUGUUGGAUCAGCCUUUUCCGUACCUCUCCCCAAUGCCAUGAUUGUUUCAUCUCUGCUCGUUUCUCUCAUCGCUCUCAUAAAGCAUUGAAAUGGGAUUCGAGAUGUCGAAAUUAUCUUUUAUGUAUUGAUUUUAUAGAAGGAUCGAGUAUUGUAUUGUACUUAUUAUUGAGGAUUGUAUUUGAUUUAUGGAUGAUUCUCAUUAUUUUAUAAAUAAAUAAAUAAAAUUUUAAUUAUCUUUGAUUGUUAUCAUUUUUGUUUUAUUAUUGCACUUUUUGAUUGCAAAAAAAUGCUUUAAAGCAUUGAUUUUAUUAUAUGUCUCUAUUUUUCUCAUUUGAUAAUUUGGAUGAGAAUUGAAAUAUUAUAGGAUCGCAUAUUAACAUUUAAACAUGUAUUUAAUAGCAAAAAUUCAACCGAUUACCUUGAUUUAUGUCAUGGGAAGUCAUUUCUUCUCCCUCUGAUAUCCAAUAAGCUGCUUUUUGGGUGUGUGAUUGUUCGAGAAUUAUGGAUCAAUGAGCUCUUCCCUUACCUUCCAAAAUUCAGUCCAAAGUGCAAAUAUAUGUGUUUGAGUCAGUCAAGUAAAUUAAGAUGAAUCCAUAAAAAAUAAAACAAUAAUAUGUAUCUAGUCCCCUUAUGGAUCACAAUACAAAAAAUAAAUUAACACUUAUUUAUGAUAUUAUCAAAUUGAUUAUGUAAGUCCAUACAUAAAAAUUCCAACAAAUUUUACAUGUUUUUUCUUAUUUAAUAAUUUUAGAUAUUUUUCUUUAAUUUAAAAUAAAUAAGAUAUUUAACAAAAUAUUAAAUUAAUGAAAGUUAAUUAUAUUUAGACAAAACUAAGUGAAAUUAUCCCUUAGUUUAAAUUGGUAAGAUGCUUGUACUUUUUCUUAAAGUAGGUGUCCUAGUCUAGAACAACCAGCUUUACAGCUUACCAGAUUUCCAGAAUUAUUACCCAUGUGCCAACCCAAAAUUUGGCACCAAAAUCAUUUUAUUUUAUUUUAUUUCUAAAUGUUAAUGGGUAAUUACAACAUACAAAUUUUUUUGGAGAAAAUUAUGCUUUAUAGAACUUGAAAUUGACCAUAUGAAUGACAUAAUUGACAGAAAAUAUAUGAAAUUGUAAAAGAUAAAAAUACCAAAGAAAAUGACACAUAAAAUCUUUUUAAAAAUUGAUUGAUUGCACACAUGGUAAUGAUCCCGAAAAAUAUCUUAAUUUUUUAUUUGAUUAAUAUAAGAAAAUGUUAUUUACAAAAUAUCUUUCUUUUUUUUUACAAAAACCAAUUUCUAUUUGAAUUAGAAAAUAUUUAUAAAAAAAAUAAUUUUAUGUUAUAAAAAAAAACUCUCAAAUUUAUUAAGAAAAUAACUAUAAUUUAUUUAUUUUUAUGUUUCUAAUUUUCGGUUUAGAUUUUUUACCCAAUUGGUCAAAGCACAAUUUUCCCCAUUUUUUAUUCACAUUCAUCAUUAAAUGAAUCAAAUAUUUGAAGGCCUUUCUCCUUCAAUAAUGUGCUACAGGGGAAUUGAACGUUGGGCUAAUGCCACCCUCACCAUUUGCGUGACAACAAGGAUUUGAAUAGCAGCAAUUAACUAUUGCCAGCUUGGAAAAAGAAACCUUAGAAAGAAAAAAAAAACUAACGUUCAUUAUUCAAAAUUAAUCAGUCUUUUUGUAUUUUAUAUUAUUAAAUUAAUAAUAAAUAUUAUAAAAGAACAAUUGGGUGUCACAUGCCGACAUGAGGAGUCUAAGACCAACUGGCACAUAACACAAUCAGUUCCCGGGAAACUCGGCUUUUAUCAUGUUUAAUAAUAAAUAAAUAAAAAAUGAUUUAAGAUUAAUAUAUUACAUUAUUUUUCUUAUUCUUACAAUUUAAAAUUGAAUUUAAAAGUAAAGUAAUUAUCGAGGAAGAAUCCACCACACUGUACCCACUCAGCCACAUGCGCCCGUUGAGCUGUUGUCUAGUGGCUGCCUGGCUGGGCCGCUUCACCAGCUGUUAUUAUUCGCAGUGGGCCCUACUUGCCACUCCAACGUCCUAUAUAUUUGGGGUGGCUUCCUCUCUCGGUCUCACCAGCCCUAAGCCACUCUCAAAAUCACUCGCCUCCUUUCUCUCUCUAACUCUCCCUCAGUUUCUCACCGCCGAUCAGCUUCUCCACUGUUCACCAAUGGCGCAAGUUGGCAUGACGAAAGCCUUAAUGCUUGUCUUCGCAGUGGUGGCAAUCUUCUCUACGGCUGCUACAGUGUCGGCUCAAGAUGGCGCCCUGGCACCGGCUCCGUCGCCAGACGUCGGAUCUGCGUUCUCCGUACCUCUCUCCGGCGCUGUUAUGGCUUGCUCUCUUGUCCUCUCUCUUCUCGCUCUCCUGAAGCCUUGAGUUCCGAUCCAUGAGAGAUUGCAGAUUUUGUAUAUGGAUUGAAAUUUGAGGAUCGUAUUAAAUUUAUUCUUUGUUCAUUUGGGAGCAUUAUUAUUGUUACCAUUUUGUGUUAUUAUUUUAUUAUCAUAAUGAUAUAAGAGAUUUAUACUUAUUAUGUCGGAUCCGAUCUGCGUGAUGCUCUCUCUUCUCUUUUCCUCAAGAGAUUGCCAUUCUGAUUUUCUUCCAACGAAGCGAAUUGUUCUUGCAAAAGAAAACACUAAACCAUAAAGUAUUUUUAUAUUUAAACACGCAUGCAUAUGCUGUUUUCCAUAUUUAUUUUCAUUGAAAUAUCAUAGAGAAUUUUUUGUAGGUAAUUUUAUUUAAUAUUUUUUAAAAAUCUAAUCACUGAUAUCUUCCCUUUUAAGCUUUUAAUUUAUUAAUGGAAUUAUUAAAAUUAGAAGUUAAAUAGAGAUGAUUACUGACUUAGUAAUAUGUAUUAUAAUAAGAAAAAUAUAUUUAAUGUAAUAAUUGUAAAUUUAUUUAAAUUUAAAAAUUUUCACUUUAUUCAAUUAAAAUUUCUUAUACUAACCUUUUAUUUAUAUAUUUCUGGACCCCGGCCGCAUGAUUUGCGUUGAUGCAAGAUAAAGUCUACAAAUUAACGGAUAUUUCCAAAAGAAGAAGGGUAACGGUCAUCACCAAAUGUUAUUUUAUUAUGUUAAUAUUUAAUAGUUUUUAAUUUCCUUUUUAUAGAAAAAUAAUACAGAGGGACCCACCAACAUAGCUGUAAAGACACCAACACUGCACUUCACAUGUCCAUUUCAGCGUACGGUUGAAUUGUGACACGUCAUCAGAGUUGGUCUCCAAAGUGGGCCCCACACGCCGCUGCAAUUCACGAACGCUGUUGCUUAUUAUUCUCUCCCGGUUUCCAGAUUGUUCUGUUGUUUAUCUUUCAGUAAUGGCGCAAGUUAGCAUGAACAAAGCCUUGAUGGCCGUCUUCACAGUCGCGGUAGUCUUAUCUGCGGCCGCUACAGUAUCGGCGCAGGAUACUUCGCCGGCCCCGGCUCCAUCUCCAGACGCCGGAUCGGCGUUCUCCCUACCUCUCCCCGGCGUUUUCAUUGUUUCCUCUCUCUUCUUUUCCCUUCUCGCUCUUUUGAAACCUUGAGAUUUAUGGAUUGUAUUGGAUUCAUUCUUUGUUUAUUGAAUGAUAAUGUUUAUGAACAAAAAUCAUGGUAUUAUUUUCGUUGUUCAUGGGAGGGCUUAAAGCUUCGAUUCACUUAUUGCAUAAAUAGAAGCUUGAAUCUCAAUUUGAUAGUGCAAUAGCACAAAAAUAAAAUAAAAUAAUUGAUCUAUAAACGUAUUCGAUUGGAUCAGUCAUAAUUAUAGAAAGAAACCACUUCUUGGAGGCUCCUUUUCAAUAUUUUUUCUUAAUGAGAAUACCAAAUAAUAAAAUUUAAUAUAUAUAUAUAUAUAUAUAUAUAUAUAUAUAUAUAUAUAUAUAUAUAUAUAUCAAUUGAAUAACAAUUAUACUAAUCGAAUUGAGUGGUUGAAUUUUCCCUUUUGAGAAAACAAAAAAAAAGAAAAAAA
Molecule: long non-coding RNA, 4103 nt
Filed under: Vitis vinifera (wine grape)
Lineage: Eukaryota; Viridiplantae; Streptophyta; Magnoliopsida; Vitales; Vitaceae
Description: long non-coding RNA (VVIN_LNC002684)
Source: RNAcentral